This 74-nucleotide transfer RNA is filed under the name Clostridium argentinense CDC 2741. It matches the Rfam family "tRNA". Rfam says of the family: Transfer RNA (tRNA) molecules are approximately 80 nucleotides in length. Their secondary structure includes four short double-helical elements and three loops (D, anti-codon, and T loops). Further hydrogen bonds mediate the characteristic L-shaped molecular structure. tRNAs have two regions of fundamental functional importance: the anti-codon, which is responsible for specific mRNA codon recognition, and the 3' end, to which the tRNAs corresponding amino acid is attached (by aminoacyl-tRNA synthetases). tRNAs cope with the degeneracy of the genetic code in two manners: having more than one tRNA (with a specific anti-codon) for a particular amino acid; and 'wobble' base-pairing, i.e. permitting non-standard base-pairing at the 3rd anti-codon position. Lineage: Bacteria; Bacillati; Bacillota; Clostridia; Eubacteriales; Clostridiaceae. The record is from Rfam by way of RNAcentral.
GCACCUAUAGCUCAGCUGGAUAGAGUGGUGGACUUCGAAUCCAAAGGCCGUGAGUUCGAAUCUCGCUAGGUGCA